UCCGCCCUCGUCAGUGCCCGGGUAUCACAAUGCAUAAUCAACCUAAGAAGCUUGGCAAGCUAAAGGAAGCAAAGGAAUCAAAAGAAGGAAAGAAAAGAGUGUUGUACGAAAUUGAGAGCUUGACUUUUGGAUUGAACUUUCAAAGACAUUUGGCUUCUAGAUUGAAUGAAGCACCCAACCUAUACCAUUGUGUGCCCAACUUCCACG
This 207-nucleotide long non-coding RNA is filed under the name Vigna radiata. Its description in RNAcentral is "long non-coding RNA (VRAD_LNC011285)". The record is from RNAcentral. Lineage: Eukaryota; Viridiplantae; Streptophyta; Magnoliopsida; Fabales; Fabaceae.